GUGCCAGCAGCCGCGGUAAUACGUAGGGCGCAAGCGUUGUCCGGAUUUAUUGGGCGUAAAGAGCUCGUAGGCGGCUUGUCGCGUCUGCCGUGUAAGCCUUCGGCUUAACUGGGGGUUUGCGGUGGAUACGGGUAGGCUGGAGGCAGGUAGGGGAGAAUGGAAUUCCCGGUGUAGCGGUGAAAUGCGCAGAUAUCGGGAGGAACACCGGUGGCGAAGGCGGUUCUCUGGGCCUUGCCUGACGCUGAGGAGCGAAAGCGUGGGGAGCGAACAGGAUUAGAAACCCUUGUAGUCC
RNAcentral lists this ribosomal RNA (292 nucleotides) under uncultured bacterium. Its description in RNAcentral is "partial 16S ribosomal RNA". It matches the Rfam family "Bacterial small subunit ribosomal RNA", at positions 505 to 796 of the family's 1533-position model. The record is from RNAcentral.